GUCUAUGAACAUAUUAUGCUGAACGUUCCCCAUCUGGUCUGAUCUCAGAAGCUAAGCAGGCCUGGUUAGUACUUGGAUGGGAGAAUAUGUCAAUAUUUAGUUCUUUCACU
Molecule: ribosomal RNA, 110 nt
Organism: Cricetulus griseus (Chinese hamster)
Lineage: Eukaryota; Metazoa; Chordata; Mammalia; Rodentia; Cricetidae
Source: Ensembl